This 8628-nucleotide long non-coding RNA is filed under the name Gossypium raimondii (Peruvian cotton). RNAcentral describes it as "long non-coding RNA (GRAI_LNC008451)". The record is from RNAcentral. Lineage: Eukaryota; Viridiplantae; Streptophyta; Magnoliopsida; Malvales; Malvaceae.
CAAAUAUGCCCAGGCCCAAACCAAUAAACAGGCCCAAUUAACAGCCCAAAACCCAAAUUAACCUAGCCCAAACAUUAAAAUUUCAGAAACCCUAACAGCAUUUGCCCGCAACCGCCGCACAUCCUAACAACAGCCCCGCACAUGUCGCGCACGUUCGCCUCCACGUUGACUGGCCGUACCUGCAGCAACAAGCAAAAGCAAACAACAACAAAAUAAUAGGAAUAACAGAAUAUAUUUGGUUUGAUUUUUUUUUCUUUCUUCUUUCUCAUUUUCGGCUAUAAAAGCCCAAUUCCAGGCAUUUUAAAAGAGGGGGGCAAAUUCAGUGUAAAAGACAUACGAAAAUAGAGAGAAAAGAUUGAAAUACAAGGAAAAUUGAAGGUUAAUCGCGUUUAUUCUAUUUUCAUUUUUACUUAUUUUUUUCUUUUCUUUUUAUUUGUUUUGUGAAAUAAUAGUAUAAAAGGGGAAAAGAGAGACUUACCCAGUGGUCGCGUUCUAUUCUCCGUCUCGACCGGAGGCCAGGACGGUGAUUGAAGCCGUGGGAGGUUCAUGAACGGCGGCUCCAAAGGGUUAGAGAAACCCUAAGAGAAGCAGCACUGCUUUAGAGGAAAAACAAAAUUUUUUCCCUAAUUUUUUUUCUUUUUUUAAAACUUAAAAUAGAACAAAGAUGGCGCCGUUUAGUUUGGGGGUCCGCGCAUAUCAACCUUAAAUGGGAGAAUUGCGCAAUAAGUCUUCCCCCUUUGCGCCAUGUUUUAUUAAGCCAGUUAUUUCUUUUUAAUUUGGCCCAAAUGUUUUACCUUGUUUCAAAUCGGUCCCCAUUGCGGCGCAGCGGUUUAGGGAGCUGGAUUAUUUCGAUUUGGGCCCCCUCAUAUAAUGCGUGUGUUGCAAAUUGGUCCCUGUUCUAUUUUAAUUUCAUUUUUUGGUUAUUUUGUUUUUUCUCAAUUCGUUUUUUUUUAAAUUGUUACUUUUAAAAUUAUUGCUAUAUUAUCUAUUAUCAUUUAUUACUAUUUCUAUAUUUAUACACGCAUUUUUUAUAUAGUAUAUAUAUAUAUACAUAUUUCUUUAUAUAAUAUAUAUAACUUUUAUGAAUGCAUGCAUUUUACAUACGUUUUAUUUUUUAUCUUUUGUAACCUUUAUAUACUUUAUAUAUAUUAUAUAUAUAUACUUAUACAUUUCUUUUAUUUUGUAAAUAUAUACACAUGUACAUACUUUUAUUUUUAUUUAUUUUAUUUUCAUAAUUCUUACAUGUACAUAUAUAUAUAUAUAUUUCUAUAAUAUGUACGUACAUGUUUUUUUUAGAAAUUAUUACAAGUCUUUUGCUUUACAUGUUUCAUUCCUGUUUAUAUGUAUACUAAUAUAUGUGGGUUUAAUAUAUGUGUACACAUAUUUGCAAAUUUACUUGUAAAUUGUAUGUACUUGUAUAUAUAUAUUUUGUAAAUAUUUAUUCAUAUAUGUUUUUAGAGUUUUUGUUUCAUAUUAUGCAUUAACUUUUAACAUGCCUUUUGGGAAAUAUAUUUUGGUUUUAUCAGUAUAUCAAAACCAUUUUCUCUUGAUUCGAAGUUUUUUUUGAAUAAAAGCAAUAUUCAAAGUUUGAGAUUUUCAAGGAAAUUGAGCCCUAACGUAUUGGGUUCCGAUUUUCUUUGUUAAUCUAAAAUAACCGAGAAUAUUCUUUAUUCAAAAUGUAUGAGAAUAAAAAUCAUUUUCGGGAACUUAACUUGUUGUGUCCUAAUGUAUUGGGUGUGACAUGUUACUUUCUCAAAAUGAAGAUUUUCGCAUAAAAUAAAAGUGGUAUUCAAAGUUUGGGGAUGUUGAGAAAUUGUACCCUAAUGUAUUGGGACUCGAUUUCUUUACAUGACUUGAACAAUUGAUUAUCCUUUUCAGAUUUCAUCAUUUGAGUUGUUUUUAAAAAACCUUUUUUAGCCCUCGACACUAAGACAUUAAAUAAUUAAUUUGGUACCAAUUUUGGGUGUUACGAGGGUGCUAACCCUUCCUCGUGCGUAACUGACUCCCGAACCUGUUUUCUCAAAUUUCAUAGACCAAGACACGUUUUAAGGUAAGUUGAUCACGCCUCAAUAAAGGAUCGGUGGCGACUCCAGUUUUAUCUUUAAAGUCGACAACUAAAUUUUUGUUUUCAAAAUGAUGGUUUUGACAGCUUGGCGACUCCGCUGGGGACACUAGAGAGUCGAGCCGUGAAUUGGUUAUGUUUUGUCUUUUUGUCGAAAAUCAAAAGUUUUUUAAAAAUCAUGAUUUCCCUGUGCAUUCAUUUUCAUCAUGAUAUGUUUGCAUGAUUGGACCAAGUUGGUUGAUCUGUAUUUGCUUUUUGCAUAGCAUGGUCAGUUUUACCCCUUUAAGUGGGAGCGAGAAACUAGUCCUUCGUGAGGUUUUCACCUCCGUGCAGGGUAGUGGACCGCUUCCGGGAUACAUUCGUACAUAUGCCUUCGUGAGAUUUUCAUCUCCGUGCAGCCAUAGGGAAAUGUAUUCCCCUGAACUGAACUCGAUCCAUGUGAGCCUAUAAUGGGUAAGGAUCGAGGAAUCUGCUAGUUCGGGUACCUUUGCUCUAGAAGUCAAACCUCAUAUAGUGAACCUUAGGAACUCACCCUAGGUAGAACUACAUUGAACCCUAGUAGAUACCCGAAUAGGUGUUUUAUUAUUUCCAAUUAUAUUGGAUUCUAUUUUUAUACCUAAUACUAACUUGUUAUGUUUUGUUUUGGCUGCAUGACAUUUUGACCGUAUUGCAUUUCAUCAUAGAAAAGAGGUGUUGAUUCACGUUCGGUUGCUAAAUAGAGAGCUUGUCAUGGAAAAUGGAUUUCUUGAUAAAGUGGAAAAUAAUACGGUUCUCCGAAUAUAGUCCAAGAAAGCGUGAUACGAGAAGUGUAACAAGAGGAGUAUACGACUUUGCUGCGUUGAUUCAAGAUUAGCACAUAUUAUUCAAGAGUCGUCAAACAUCCCAACCUUUUUAAAGAAACUAAUGAACGUGAGUGAGCAAGGAGUUACGACCUAGAUCAAACAAAAAGGAGCUCAAAUUCGCGAGAUGCAUCUUAAUAUCUGAAUGGUCGAUGUCUUUGCUUGGAGUACGAGGGCGAAGCCAUAUAUAUAUCUGCUUUGUGUAAAGAGAUUUAUUUUCUAGAGAAGUUUUUCUAGUAAAGAAUUGGACCAGAAUUAACGUCUCUUUUGCAUUCAUUUCACGCUUUUGCAUUACAUUACAUCAUAUGCAUUAAACACAUUAUAGACCUUUAUUCAAUCCUAAUAAGUCAAAAUCACUGCUCAGUUAACCUGGAAACCAACCAACCAACUCGAGCAAAGAUUAAAGACAUGGAUCAGAGAUUGGAAAAGCUCGAAUAGCACCAGAAAGAAAUGCAAGACCAACUCCAGUUACAAGUGCAGGAGCGGUUAGACAAGAUGCAACGGGAUAUGUCAGAGAAGAUGCAGGAAUCCCAAAACAAUAUGAUGACAAAGUUGACCCAACUGUUGACUGGAGGGGGUGAUAAAGGAAAGGGUCCCAUGGCUGAUAUCGAAGAGGGUAACGAGGAUGAAUCACUAUAUCCUCCAGGCUUUACUCCUCCAUAUGUGCGAACUCAAGCUGAAUAUCCGCACAAAUCUACUGUCAUAAUCAGGCCUCAGCAGUUCCAGGCCGGUGCUUCAAACUUCCAGGCUGGAUCGGGCUCUAACCCUGGAAACCACCAUGCUAAUUUCGCCAUUCUUGAAUUUGAUGAAGUGGUUGAAAAAGAAAGAAUAAAGGAAGAGUUACCAAAGCAGUUAGAAGAAAGGUGCAAAUGGCUCGAGGAGAAAUUCAAGGCGAUGGAAGUCACUGAAAGCUAUCGUGAGAUUGAUGCUAAAGAGCUAAGUUUAGUUCCGAAUUUGGUACUCCCUCAUAAGUUCAAGAUGCCAGAAUUCGAAAAGUACAAUGAAACAAGUUGCCCAGAAGCACAUAUCACCAUGUUCUGCAGGAGAAUGGCUGGAUAUGUUAACAAUGACCAGCUAUUGAUUCAUUGUUUCCAGGAUAGCCUCACAGGGGCAGCAUCUAAAUGGUAUAAUCAACUGAGUCGUAUCGUGAUUGGUUCAUGGAGGGAUUUAGCACAAGAAGCCCCAUUCAUUACGCAUAUGUUAAGAAGUGCUACAAAGAGCUUUUCUGACAUAGUUAUGAAUAGUGAAAUGAUCGAAAAUGCUAUAAGGAACAGGAAAAUUGAUGUAGAGGAGAGUAACAAGAGGUCAGUCUCAAGGAGAAGAGAAAAUGAGGUGAAAAACACGGGUUACUCUAAAUCAGUUACUGUGAGUCAGCCAAGAAAGGUGGCUGCUAACCAACAAGGUUCAUCAAGGUAGGAAGCUGGUACAAGACAAAACACUGAGAGGCCGCAAUUCACGCCAAUUUCGGUGUCAUAUAGGGAGCUAUAUCAAAGUUUUUUUGAUGCACAUGUUGUUUCCCCUUUUUAUGUGAAGCCUCUACAACCUCCGUACCCCGAAUGGUAUGAUACGAACGCACAAUGUGCUACCAUAUGGGAAUUACAGGACACUUGAUUGAGAAUUGCACUACCUUCAAGAAACUAGUUGAAAGACUUAUCGACAUGGGUGUUGUCAAGUUUGGUGACUCAUCAAGUCCAGAAAAUCCGUUACCCAAUCAUGAUUGAUGAUGGAGGGAAUGCAAUAUAAGUGGUGAGAAAUUUGCACAUCGAUGUCAUAUAUGCAGACAUAAUUAAAAGGGUCCUUGUUAGAUAUUUGCCUGAGAGGUGUUAUAAAUAAUGGACUGCAGAGGAAACCCCUAUAUUACUUAGAGUCUGAUAAAGUAAUGUUCAGAACACACUUGUUGCUUUUAGCCUAAAAGCAAUAAGAACUUCUUUGUGAAAUAGGCUCAUGUCUGAACAUUAUUAUUUUAAUGAAAUACAUCAUUGCAAUCAUCUUCGAGCAAAUGUUCUUUCAUUCUUUACGAUUCUUUCAUUCUUUUGGAUUUUUUCUGCCAAAUCAUUCUUUCAUUCAUAAUCAUAUUAUCUAUAAAUUCAUAAAUUCUUUGUAUAUUCCUUAGCACCUACAAUAGGUCCCUGGAUAUCAAUGACAUGAGUGACGCUGCUACAGACUCAUAAUCUCCUCUUGAGUGAAACAUGUGUUUAGAGGGAUCUCAUGACUUUGAAGAUGACAUAGAUUGUAGCUUAUCUCCUAACUUGUUGAGGAUGGUAGAGCAAUAAGAAAACAAAUUUACCUCAUGAGGAGACAAUGGAGACUGUGACCUUGAAGAAACAUGUAUGACCGAAGAAACAAAGUAAGACGCUAUUGAGUUACUUCAAGAAUUCAAAAAUGUCUUCGUAUGGUCAUACUAGGAUAUGCCCGGGUUAAGCACUGUCGUUGCAAUCUGAACAACAGCACGAUAUCAGAAAUUUACAGUAUGCUUAAGAUUAAUAUCAUGAAUGAUGCAAUAAAAACUCUACUGGAGCAGUGCCUCUCUCUUUAGUUCAUCACGAUUUUUUCUAUUGAAGUCAAAGUUCUUUUUCUCCGAGUAUUGGCUGAGCAAGUUGGAUGAGCAAAACGGAUUCAAUCGCGAUGUGAUCAAUUGAACUUGAUAGAAGGAAAAAGGCUAAAAGCUAUUCAUCACGGUCAGAUGUACCAGAAAUGAAUGAUGCGAGCCUAUAACAAAUGUUCAUCCCAGAGAAUUCCACGAGGGUGACCAAAUGUUGAACAUCUUCCCUCUACAAUAAAAUUGUUUUGGAGGGAAGCGGAUGCCAAAUUUGGAAGAACCUUAUGUUACAGAGACGAUUUUUCCAAAGGAGCUUUGAUUUUGAGCGAGAUGGAUGAUAAGUCCUGUAAACUCAGAUUCAGUCAGGAAAUACUCCGCUUAAAGAAGGAGAUGACUAAGGUAGAAAACCCGCAAAGGGGCACUUUGAGUCGUAAAAAUGAUGAAAUGAAAAAAUGAAAAAGUGAAAAUGAGAAAUGGAAAAUGGAAAAAGAAAAGAAAAUGAGAGACCAAGGCGAAAACCCGCAAAGGGCGCUUUAGACCAAAGGGGAUUUGAGUUGAAAACUCGAAAAGAACGGCUCAAAUAUUGAUCAAAAUGGGGCAUGAGGUAAUCAAAGCAGCUCAAAUACCAUUCAGAGUGGGGCAUACAAUGGUCUUGCUAUACCUGAAUCAACAGGAAAGGGCAGGCGACAUCUUGGGGCAUCGACAAAGUACUAUAGAUCUCCUAAACACAUGUUAAACUCAGAAUGGUCUUCAGAAAGUCUGUACAGAGAAGUUCAAGUUGCGAUAUCUAGGGCACCUAAUCCUUAUACCAUUUUUGUUAUUCUUGGAACACUUCAUUCAUUGACAAGAUACGCAUUCCUAAAUCAAUUUCUUGUUAUCCAUCUUUAUUAUCUUUGAUAAUCUAUUCAUUUCAGAGCCAUGCUCUAAAUCAAUUCUAUUCUUACCCAUUGUUAUGAUCUCUUGCAAGCAUGUUGCAUUUGAAUAAUGAUGAAUGGACUAAUAAAACUUUCACAAAGGAAGUUUUGCAUAUUACUCUAGAAGUUUCUAAAUAAUAUAGGAACCUCAAAUAGGACUAUUGUUUAGAACGCACCAGGUUAAAGGUUGGAAAUCUAAUAAGGAAGAGUCUAAAUUAAGACUAUCCCUUUGAAUUUUGUUGUCUAAAUCAUUGAUUGAAAAACGACAAGAUGUCGUGUUGGUGAUAAAGCUUAAAUGAACAAGCAAGUAAUGAUCACCGAAUAAUAAGAAGAAGUUGUUCUUGGAGAAGAAUAUUCUUCAUUUGUGCAUGAGCAUUUGGUAUGACUCCCUAGAAAUGGUGAAAAUGACAAAAGAGCUUCACAUUCUACAUCCUUGAAUUGUGAUAGUGAAAGAUUGAGAAAAGGCCAGAUUUUUUUUUUACUCUUGAGUUACCACGAGAGAAAGAUGAUACAGAUUUUGUGUUCCAAUGGAUUGAAAUUUGAAGUUCACAGUGGAGGGCAAUUUGAUUAAGUGUUUUUCGGAGAUGCUAGCUGAGCAAAAAGGUGUUAUAGCACAUUAGUGAGGAAACCUUAAUAAACUUUGAGUAAUAAUAACUCAAGCAUUAAAAUAUUAUUUUCAUGACAUUUUGCAUUCAUUUAAAUGACAUUCAUACACGUCUAGUUAGAAGCAUUUGAUUCAUUCUAAUCAUGACAUCCUUAAUCUCUAGGCAUAAUCAGGUUCAUCAUACAGGUCAUGUUUCACAGAAAACAUAUCAGUAAAAUCAUAAAGCCUUAUCCCCCUGAGCAACAGUGGAGCUGGCUAAAAAUCAGCAGAUCUUGUCUUCAUGUAUUGGCGUGAAGUAGAUCAAAGAUAGCAGAUCUUGUCUUCCCAUACUGGUGGUGAAGUAGAUCAAAGAUAAUGGAUCUUAUCUUCAUGUAUUGACAUGAAGUAGAUCAGAGAUAGCAGAUCUUGUCUUCAUGUAUUGAUAUGAAGUAGAUCAGAGAUAGCAGAUCUUAUAUUCAUGUAUUGACAUGAAGUAGAUCGAAGAUGAUGGAUUUUGUCUUCAUGUAUUGACAUGGAGUAGAUCAGAGAUAGCAGAUAUUAUCUUCCCAUACUGGUGGUGAAGUAGAUUGAAGGUAAUGGAUCUUGUCUUCAUGUAUUGACAUGGAGUAGAUCAGAGAUAGCAGAUCUUGUCUUCAUGUAUUGACAUGAAGUAGAUCAGAGAUAGCAUAUCUUAUCUUCAUGUAUUAACAUGAAGUAGAUCGAAGAUAAUGGAUCUUGUCUUCAUGUAUUGACAUGAAGUAGAUCAGAGAUAGCAGAUCUUGUCUUCAUGUACUGGCGUGAAGUAGAUCGAAGAAAGCAGAUCUUGUCUUCAUGUACUGGCGUGAAGUAGAUCGAAGAAAGCAAAUCUUGUCUUCCUGUACUGGUAGUGAAGUAGAUCAAAGAUAACAGAUCUUGUCUUCCCAUACUGGUAGCGAAGUAGAUCGAAGAAAGCAGAUAUUGUCUUCAUGUAUUGGCGUGAAGUAGAUCGAAGAUAGCAGAUCUUGUCUUCCCAUACUGGUGGCGAAGUAGAUCGAAAUACCAGUCUUAUCUCCUUGAAGUUGCAGUGGAGCAGACAGAAGAAACCAAUCCUAUCUCCUUGAAGUUGCAAUGGAGUAGAUUAAAACCACAGAUUUCAUCUCUUUGGAGUUGUAGCAGAGCAGAUCGCAUCAGAUUUAUUUUUAAGUUGUAGCAUAACAAGUUGAAGCUAUAAGUCUUAUCUCCCUGAAGUUGCAGUGGAGCAGAUUAAAGAUAGCAAAUUUUGAAGCUACAGCAUACGAAUCCUAUAUCCCUGACAUUCCAGUGGAGUAGAUCGAAACGCUAGUUCCUGUACCUCUGAAGAUACAGUAGGAAGGAAUGAGGCUACUAGAAGAAAGGCACUGAAUAAGUUGAGGCUCAGUAAGACCAGACACAAUUGGGCUUUUGGUUUUUGCUCUAUUCUCGUUACACGACAAUGAGCAAAGAGGGGCAGCUGUACAAGCCCAAAUAUGCCCUGGCCCAAACCAAUAAACAGGCCCAAUUAAUAGCCCAAAACCGAAAUUAACCUAGCCCAAACAUUAAAAUUUCAGAAACCCUAACAGCAUUUGCACGCAGCCACUGCACAUCCUAACAACAGCCCCGCACAUGUCGCACACGUUCGCCUCCAUGUUGACUGGUCGUACCUGCAGCAACAAUCAGAAACAAACAGCAAAUUU